GGUCUCGUAGUGAAAUGGAUAUCAUAGGUGUCUUCGAAACAUUUGUUUCAGGUUCGAAUCCUGACGAGACCGCCA
RNAcentral lists this transfer RNA (75 nucleotides) under Alphaproteobacteria bacterium. RNAcentral describes it as "tRNA-Arg". It matches the Rfam family "tRNA". Rfam says of the family: Transfer RNA (tRNA) molecules are approximately 80 nucleotides in length. Lineage: Bacteria; Pseudomonadati; Pseudomonadota; Alphaproteobacteria. The record is from RNAcentral.